AACUGUGCCAGUGGCAAUCGCCUGCGGACACCGGUUCGCGGGAGGAAAGUCCGAACACCGAAGGGCGGAGUGCCGGACAAGAUUUCGCUUCGGCGAAGUGCAAGUUCGGGAAGUGCGCUGCAAAGUGGGCUGACAGAGAGUGCAACAGAAAGCAAACCGUCCCGCGCCUGUUUUCAGGGGCGGGAUAAGGGUGAAACGGCGGUGUAAGAGACCACCAGUUGACGGAGCGAUCCGUCAAGCUCUGAAAACCUCGCUCGGUGCAAGGCUAUGUAAGAAACCGCGUUUCUUCGGAAACCGAACGCGGCCCGUGUGAGUGCCUGAGGCUUGGCUUCGGGCAACGGUUUCGGGUGAGCCGCAUCAGAUAAAUGAUUGCCUGCCGCUUCGUUCGCAAGAAUGAAAUGGCAAACAAAAUUCGGCUUACACGGCGCAGUUUCAA
This 436-nucleotide RNase P RNA is filed under the name Chlorobiales bacterium. RNAcentral describes it as "Bacterial RNase P class A". It matches the Rfam family "Bacterial RNase P class A". From Rfam's summary of the family: Ribonuclease P (RNase P) is a ubiquitous endoribonuclease, found in archaea, bacteria and eukarya as well as chloroplasts and mitochondria. The record is from Rfam by way of RNAcentral. Lineage: Bacteria; Pseudomonadati; Chlorobiota; Chlorobiia; Chlorobiales.